RNAcentral lists this long non-coding RNA (356 nucleotides) under Lathyrus oleraceus (garden pea). RNAcentral's name for it is "Pisum sativum (pea) long non-coding RNA (PSAT_LNC033408)". Lineage: Eukaryota; Viridiplantae; Streptophyta; Magnoliopsida; Fabales; Fabaceae. The record is from RNAcentral.
CAUCCUCUAAUAUAUGGUUCUAUUAAAGGACCGUGGGGUACAUAUUCAUGUACAUGACAUCUAAACCGCUUCGGAUCCUAAUAACAAAAAAGUAAGAAAAUACAAUUAGAAGAAGAAAUACAAACUCAACAAACACACAUCUAUAAGAGUAUUCCAAAAAUAGAAACUAAAAAGAGAGAGAUUACAAAGGUAUAACACAAAGAAGAUAUCUAUUAGAAAUAAUCCAAAAAUAGAAACCAAAAAGAGAGAGACAACAAAGGUAUAACACAAAAAAGAUAUGUAUUAGAAGUAAUUCAAAAAUAGAAACUCAAAAGAGAGACAUAACAAAUGUAUAACACAAAAAAGAUAUAUAUAAG